Molecule: ribosomal RNA, 163 nt
Filed under: uncultured bacterium
Lineage: Bacteria
Description: partial 16S ribosomal RNA
Rfam family: Bacterial small subunit ribosomal RNA
Source: RNAcentral
UAGGGAAUUUUCGGCAAUGGGGGGAACCCGUGACCGAGCAACGCCGCGUGAAGGAAGAAGGAAUUCGUUCUGUAAACUUCUGUUAUAAAGGAAGAAAGACGGAUGGAGGAAAUGACAUCCGAGUGACGGUACUUUAUGAGAAAGCCACGGCUAACUACGUGCC